GGUGAUUGAUAGCUCAGUGGUAGAGUGCUUGCCUAGCACAUGUGAGGCCCUGGGUUUGAUCCUCAGCACCA
This 71-nucleotide transfer RNA is filed under the name Marmota monax (woodchuck). RNAcentral's name for it is "tRNA.Ala". The record is from RNAcentral. Lineage: Eukaryota; Metazoa; Chordata; Mammalia; Rodentia; Sciuridae.